This is a long non-coding RNA of Micropterus salmoides (largemouth bass), 1372 nucleotides long. RefSeq lists it as uncharacterized. The transcript has 2 exons. The record is from RefSeq and is a predicted model, not a curated record. NCBI's taxonomy places the organism in Eukaryota, Metazoa, Chordata, Actinopteri, Centrarchiformes, Centrarchidae.
UGGAGAAAAUACAGCUAAAAACGAACUACACUGAGGCUAACUUCAACACUACAAACGUGGUAGCUAACUGCUGUGAGAGUUUAGUUGUAAGUUCAGUGUUUAGAUGUAGCGCUUGAGAGACUAGCAGCGUCGGUAGCUUUGAUGUCCGUAGGAUUUCCCGCGACGCGCAGUCUUUGCUGAUUCAAGAGCGAGGUAAUUCAUUUAAAACUGCUUUUGUUCAUUCUUUAUCACCUUACUGUGAAAGCUAAUUUAUUUUGCACUGAGAGAAAGUACUGAAAGUCGCAUACGGUCUCGUAUGUUUCGGUUUUAGAAGACCUUGUGGCUUUACUGGGCGCCGCCAUUUUGGGUGUGUGUGUCCAGCCGCUCUGGUGAAAUCGGUUUUUUUUUGUGUGUGCGUGUUUCUUCUUCCAUUGUCUGGAUUGGAUCUGCGGAUGAAAAUUGAUGGCGAGCCGUCCCUCUUGAAUGAUCGUGGGAGCCAUUCCCUCUUCAGGAUCACUGGAUCUGUCCCGCUACUACUGCACUUUGCGGUGUGGUAGGUCCCACUACAACACACAACCCCUUCACUCACCUUCACACUCCUUCCCCCACACACAUACAUACACCAACCCUAUGGAACUCUGAACUCUGACUUACCUUCGACACAUCCAUUUUUUUGUUUGGACUUUGGACUCACUUAAACAAACUCACCUGUUCACACCUUGGGACUGAGAAUGUGGAGCUGAGUAGUAGGAAUCAUUCCUGCAGUUAAGGGUUACUGUUGUGCUGUGUGAAUUCUACUGGAUUGUAUUAUUGAACUGGAUCUGAACAAACUUUGUGGUGUUAUUAACAGAAAUUCAGGUUAAAUGGUGCACCGGGAAUUUGAUGAUAGAACUACCUCAAAGAGUGAAAUACUCACUUUAAAUUUGGAAAGCAAGCAUUUCAUGCUGAUGUCAUAGCCUGAUUGUGAUAUCAAUAAUUGCCUUGUUCAUUACUUGUUUUAUUAUUGUACUUUUUCAUUUUUGGAACCAACCAAUAAUUUUAUUUUUAUACAUAUCUUCAAAUAUAAGAAGCCGGCACCAUCUUACGUCUAAUCCUUGGUCUCUGAGCCGAACCAACCGACUUAACCAACCAAUCAGAUCACGGCCCUACCCAUAAUCCUUCCUGUGUGCUACAUAAGCAUUGGAAAGCAUCGUCCGUGUGGAAGGCAGGAUCAUAAAGUAAGACAAGGCAAAGGAAGUAUGCCAAAUAAAUGCCUCACAAUGAGGGUGAAGGAAAAUGUGAAACAAAGAGAGACAUACCAUUAGAGAUGAGAGGUUAUGUGUUGGAGUAAAAACUGGUAAACUGAGUGGAAAACAGCUCCUAAAAUCCUUCUGCCAGUUGUAAAAUAUAUGAC